Non-coding RNA from Cinara cedri, 215 nucleotides. Lineage: Eukaryota; Metazoa; Arthropoda; Insecta; Hemiptera; Aphididae. The record is from the annotation of a GenBank genome assembly.
UUAAAAAAAAAAAAAAAACUGUUAAAUGCUAAAAUCAAGACAUUAUAAUAUUCUGCUGUUUAUAGUUUACUUUCUACAGACCCUACACGUUCUUAUACACUCUACAAUAAGUGAACAAUUAUAAAUAAACGAUAAUUGUAAUACCAAAUAAGAAAUAAUAAUUUACGCCUAUAUUCGUGUACAGACAAAGAAGUUUCUGGCUUUUGACGUUUCGG